This 71-nucleotide transfer RNA is filed under the name Granulicatella balaenopterae. It matches the Rfam family "tRNA". From Rfam's summary of the family: Transfer RNA (tRNA) molecules are approximately 80 nucleotides in length. Their secondary structure includes four short double-helical elements and three loops (D, anti-codon, and T loops). Further hydrogen bonds mediate the characteristic L-shaped molecular structure. tRNAs have two regions of fundamental functional importance: the anti-codon, which is responsible for specific mRNA codon recognition, and the 3' end, to which the tRNAs corresponding amino acid is attached (by aminoacyl-tRNA synthetases). tRNAs cope with the degeneracy of the genetic code in two manners: having more than one tRNA (with a specific anti-codon) for a particular amino acid; and 'wobble' base-pairing, i.e. permitting non-standard base-pairing at the 3rd anti-codon position. Lineage: Bacteria; Bacillati; Bacillota; Bacilli; Lactobacillales; Carnobacteriaceae. The record is from Rfam by way of RNAcentral.
AGGGGUAUAGUUUAAAGGCAGAACAACGGUCUCCAAAACCGUUGGUGUGGGUUCGAUUCCUACUACCCCUG